This 253-nucleotide ribosomal RNA is filed under the name uncultured bacterium. RNAcentral's name for it is "partial 16S ribosomal RNA". It matches the Rfam family "Bacterial small subunit ribosomal RNA", at positions 524 to 776 of the family's 1533-position model. The record is from RNAcentral.
CACGGGGGGAGCAAGCGUUGUUCGGAAUCACUGGGCGUAAAGGGCGUGUAGGCGGUUUGGUAAGUGGGACGUGAAAUCCCUCGGCUCACCCGAGGACCUGCGUCCCAUACUGCCAGGCUAGAGUACGGGAGAGGAUGAAGGAAUUCCUGGUGUAGCGGUGAAAUGCGUAGAUAUCAGGAGGAACACCGGUGGCGAAGGCGUUCAUCUGGCCCGAUACUGACGCUGAGGCGCGAAAGCUAGGGGAGCAAACGGG